Acinonyx jubatus (cheetah) is the source of this 746-nucleotide long non-coding RNA. RefSeq lists it as uncharacterized. Lineage: Eukaryota; Metazoa; Chordata; Mammalia; Carnivora; Felidae. The transcript has 4 exons. The record is from RefSeq and is a predicted model, not a curated record.
GGGAGUCUGGGUGAAUAAAUAAAUUCAUUUUCUGGCUUGUAUAGCAGAGGGCAACAGGAAAAAGGCUUUCAGUAAGCCAACCACCAGUGUCUGCCACAGAAGGAAUAGUAGAGGAGAGGAAGUGCCCUAAAGUUACCCACUGAGAUGGGAAGUUCUUAGAGUUACUCCCACAGAUGAAUGUCCCUUUCUAGACAAGACUGUGUAUAUAGCUCUUGGUUACUGCCCAAUGUUCUAUCUGAACAACUUGUGUAUGAUCAGGCAGAGAAAAGAUGCCUUCUGAGAAAGUCUAUGGGGAGAAAAGUACUAUCUGAACUGGAGGUGGUCCAACUGGAAAAAGUUUUGCAUGCCUCUGCUUGGCUAACUGCUACCUGAUUCUUCGUUCCAGAACUGCCAGACUGUUUUCCAAGGGGGGCAUACCAUUUUACAUUUCUACAAGCAGUGGGCGGUAUUUCCAUUUCUCCACUCCCUUGCCAACACUUGGUACUUGUCAUUUUCGUGACAGCCAUAGGGAGGAAAACAGUGUAUCUGCUGUUAGUGUUGGACAAGUUACUCCGUCCAUGUUCUUUGUUUCCUUCCCUUCCCUGAGAUACAACCACACCUAAUUUCCUGAGCCUAAACACCCUUGAACACCGACGAAGGAGUAACCCCAAAAGUUAGGUAAGCAUUGAAAAUCAUUCCUAGUAGCACAGAUCGUGAUAUCCCGUCUUAGUAACCUGCUCCCUGUGACCUUGUGGGGAAAGGUGGAG